This is a non-coding RNA of Cinara cedri, 497 nucleotides long. The record is from the annotation of a GenBank genome assembly. NCBI's taxonomy places the organism in Eukaryota, Metazoa, Arthropoda, Insecta, Hemiptera, Aphididae.
CAUUUUUAAAUUCAUAAGCAGUUAUUUAACUUUUUUUAAAAUUGGUCUUGAAAAUAUGUUAGAUAAAUUAAUAUAGACUCAAUCCAACCAGCUGGUAGGUACUAAAUUGUCUUACCAACCAUGUUUUUCCCGUUCGUUCACACAACUAUUGAAUAUGUGCAUAUCUUUUAUACCUGCAAUAUAAAUUUGUAUGGUAUUGUGUUACAAUCAUUGAUAGGGGAUUUACUUUUAUAUGCAUUUUCAAUUAUCAAAUACCUAGUUUGCAUUUAGGUUUCAAAAACAAAUCAAUAUAAGUUGUGUAUAAUAUUGUUGGUCUUAGGAAAAAGAACUCCUGGCCAAAAAAGAUUAGGAAAAGACCCCCUUGAUAAGUUAAUAGCUGUUUAAAAAAUAAGUAUGUGAAUUUUCUAAAAAAUUAAAAAUAUUGUACCUAACAUAGUAACAUCCAAUGAUUAUAAAUUCAAAAAACAACCUUAUUCAAAGAUACCUAUAUAUUUUAC